UACGAAGGGAGCAAGCGUUGUUCGGAAUGACUGGGCGUAAAGGGUGCGUAGGCGGUCAUGUAAGUGAGAUGUGAAAUCUUUGUGCUUAACACAAAAACUGCGUUUCAUACUGCAUGACUAGAGCAUGAUAGAGGAAAUGGGAAUUCCUAGUGUAGAGGUGAAAUUCAUAGAUAUUAGGAGGAACACCAGAGGCGAAAGCAAAUUUCUGGGUCAUUGCUGACGUUGAGGCACGAAAGUGUGGGGAGCAAACAGG
RNAcentral lists this ribosomal RNA (253 nucleotides) under uncultured bacterium. RNAcentral's name for it is "partial 16S ribosomal RNA". It matches the Rfam family "Bacterial small subunit ribosomal RNA", at positions 524 to 776 of the family's 1533-position model. The record is from RNAcentral.